RNAcentral lists this long non-coding RNA (16367 nucleotides) under Marmota monax (woodchuck). The record is from RNAcentral. Lineage: Eukaryota; Metazoa; Chordata; Mammalia; Rodentia; Sciuridae.
AAAUUGUAUCUGGUUUUUGGCAAUGAACUGUCUUUUACUACCUGUGGCGAUAAAAACAUCUCUUCCUAUGGUGAUAAAAGGAUAUUUAACAUUCUAUUGUGUCAAAUUAUCUGUAGUUAAGUUAAAUGGGAAUUUGCAUAGUAGGAAAAAGUAAUGUUCUACAAGUUUUUAAUAAACUAGAUCAUCACAGAAGAAACUAGUUUACUUACUAACAGAUAAUCUGCAAACGUAAAUCUUUAACAGAUGCAUUAGCUCUAACUGCCUGGUGCUAAGAUUUGAGAUUUGAGAUCCAUUCUAGUUUGUUAUAUUAUUAUUAUUUUAUUUUUAAUUUAUCUUUAUUUGUUCUAAUUAGUUAUAUAUGACAGUAGAAUGCACUUUGAAAUAUCAUAUAUAGAUGGAGUAUAAUUUCUAAUUCUGAUUGUACAUGGUGUAGAAUUCCACCAAUCAUAUAAUUACAUAUGUAUAUAAGGUAAAAAUAUCUGAUUCAUUCUAGUAUCCUUCCUACCCCAUAUUUCCUCCUCUCUCUUUAAACCACAAAUUCAAAUUCAUCUGUGUAAUUUAGCACUUGUAUGUCAAUAACAAAGUUACUGUGUUAGUUGCUACAAAAAACAACUUCUAAUCAACUACAAUUAACUCAUAUUCUUUGGGGGGGUGUUAAGAUUUGGAUGUGAGGUGUCCUCCAAAAGCUCAUGUGUGAGACAAUUCAAGAAGGUUUAGACUACAGAUGAUUGGGUUAUGACAGCCUCAACCAAUCAGUGAAUCAAUCUCCUGAAGGGACUACUUGUGUGGUAACUGAAGGUGGAUAGGGUGUGGCUGGAGGAGAUAGUUCCUUGAGGGCGUUCCUUUGGCACAUAUAUUUUGUAUCUGUGAAUGAAUUCUUUCUCUAUUUCAUGAUCCUCCUGUGAGCUGCUUGCCUAUGCCACAGGCUUCCACCAUGAUGUUCUGCCUCACCUGAAGCCCUAAAGAAUGGAGCCAGCUGUCUGUGGACUGAGAUCUCAGAAACUGUGAGCCCCAAAUAAAUAUUUCCUCCUGUAAAAUUGCUCUUGUUGGGGCUUUUAGUCACAGCAACAAAAAAGCUGACUAAAACGGUGUGGUGUGUGUGUGUGUGUGUGUGUGUGUGUGUGUUUUGUACUGAAGAUUUUAGCCAGGGAUAAAUAAUCACUUAACUAACCUUUUUUAAAUUUUUGAGACAGGGUCUCACUAAGUUUCCCAAGCUGGUCUGGAACUUGAGAUCUUCCUGCCUCAGGCUCCAAAGUCACUGAGAUUAUAGUUGGGCACCAUCACACCUUGCUGAUAUUUAUUUUUAAUGUGAAAUUAUGGAACUGAAUCAGUAACCUAGGAGAAGCAUAAAUGAGGAAAUCUGAGACAACUAUAUGUGACAAUGGCCUUAGGCCUGAGCCCAAGCAACUCCAUUUUAAAAAACUCCAGUUUGAAAACUCCAGUCUCAUCAGACGCACCUACCAGAGCCCUCCAGUAUGGCCUCAGACAAGUUACUUCCCCUCACCUUGAUAAGCAGAGUGAAGCCUCUGGCAGGCUGUCCUCUCCUGAUAAGAGGGAAAGGUGAGAAGAUCAGGGUGAAUACCAUCAGACCAGAUGUUUCUGAUCCCAGGGUAAAUGAUGUCAUGAAGAAAUCCAGUGGUAGCUGAUAAGGAUUGAAAAAAGGGUCAAAAGCCCCAAAUUUAGUAUAAAUAAUAGAGCUGAUGAACAGGGAUUCAGCCAGCCCAAACAAGAGUGCACUGGAGCUGAAGAGCCUAAUGAGGACCUGGACUGACAUCCCAUCGCACUGGAGCUGAAGAGCCUGAUGAGGACCUGGACUGACAUCCCAUCGUUGGUCAUCAUUUUCCUGAUCCUCUGUGUGAUCCUCACCACUCUCAAACUCUACCGCAGUGAGAGUGGUNCACACCACACCAGGAAAAGCCUGCCUUGGUUCUGGACCUGAUCACGUGGUCUGAGUGAGUGUGCAUCUGCUGGACUUACAGCCUAAAGUUUAAGACUUUUGAACUUAAUAAGCAGAGGAUAAUGUCUGUCAUUGGCCUGUCAUUAUUGUGUUUUGCAGUGCUUAGAAUUAAUCUAGAAUUAUUUGCUGUGAAUUGAUUAUGUCUAUUGCAGUGCUUGGCAUAAAUGAUUGUCAUUUUCUUGAUUAAGAACCUAUAGAGUGAAAUUAUAUUGAGUGAUUUGAGUGAGUAAAGCAUUGGAAAGGGCAGAAGCACGUGGACAUUCUUUAUUUCUCUCCCUUGCCUGCAUAUGUCUCAAUUUUGCCCCCUCAUGACAUUGUAAUUCAAAAAUUAUUUAUAAAGGAAAUACUUUAGGAUAUAUUAUUAAAAUUAAUUUAAGUAAUUACUUGUGUAGAGAGAAGCUUAUCUAAACAUAGCUUGAAUACACUAUAAAAUCAAAGAGAAAACCAAACAUAGCUCUUCAAAGAGUCUUAUUCAAAUGUAUAUUUAAAUAAUAUGAAAUAAGAAAUAGUUUUUAAGUGGAAAACUUCACAUAAAGAUAUUGGUCAAUCACUAAAUAUAAUUUAUUACCUUCUAAUGCCUAAAAAGCAAGUUUAUUUAUUUAUCUAUUUUUGUUUUACUUGUUUUGUCUCAAUUAUACAAAAUGGUGGGUUUCAUUGUAGCAUGUUUAUAUAUAAAGAUAAACAGUUUGAUUAAUUUCACCCCCAGUGCCCCAUCUUCCCUCCCUUCAUUCAUUCACUGUACCCUAAUUGUCUCCAUUUUACUGUCAUAGAAACUCUUUUAUAUCCCUGCUCCAGUCUCCAUAUGAUACCUUCUUCUCUUGAUCCAACUUUACUUUAUUAAAAUUUGUGGUGUCCAAUUCCAUGUAUGUUUCAGCAAGAAAUCAUUUUGUUCUUUUUUUAAUGGCUGAGUAAAACUCCAUUUUGAAUAUAUAUCCUCUUUUCUUUAUCCAUUUAUCUGUUUACAGACACCUUUGCUGAUUUUAUAAUUUGGCUGUUAUGAGUUUUGCUGUGAUAAAUAAGGGGAUGCAAGUAUCUCUAAAGCAUGCUGUUAGUUCUUUCACUGGAGCAUAUAGUGGGUCUAUUUUUAGAUUUUUAAGGAAAGUUUGAACUGAUUUCCAUUGAAGUUGUAAUAAUUUACAUUCCCACCAACAGUGUGUACUCCUUUUCCCUCCAGGCAUCCUUGCUGAAUUUAUUGUUAUUUUUAUUCUUUAUAAUUGCUAUUCUAACUCAAGGGAGAUGGAAUCUCAGUGUAAUUUUGAUUUGCAUUUCCGUGAAGACUGAAGAUGUAGUCAUUUUUAUUUCUAAUUUUGAGAAGUGUCUCCUCCCUGCCCACUUAUUAAUUGGAUUGUUUGUUAAUAUUGAUCUUUUUCUUUAGUUCUUUAUAUAUUCUGGAAAUUAAUCAUCUGUCCAAAGAGAAGAUAGAAAAUGUGUUUUCUUUUGAAUUUUUUAAAAAAAGUUUUGCUAGUUAAAGACCUAGUGGAAAAUUGUUUAUCAGUGAAUGGAUCUAAAAUCUGUAGUGAGUUGUUUGUAGAUACAUGUUAAAUUGGUAAAUUUUAAUUUGAUCAUUUGAAUAACAGAUAAAAAUAAGUUUUUCAACCCAACAGUAAAAAACUUGCUCAACAAUAUGUAUAAACCCUCCAUAUACACAGGAUAGUUCAUCACUUAAAGAAUUAACAAAGUUAACACACCUCAGCUUUUAAGUAAAAUUCUUAGUUUAAACAUUUCGGUAUGUAUUAAAUAGUUCACUACAGACUUUAGAUGUACUCCCUGAUAAAACAGCUUUUUAUAAGAAAUCUUUAAUCUGCACAGUAAGAAACACCUUUAAGUGCAUUUAAAACUAAUUCAUAUAUUAUACAUAGCAGUUUAUGAAAUAAUUUAAAUCACUGAACCGAAACAGGUAAUAGUCCAUCUUCUUGGUUGCAUCUUUUCCAUGUGUCUCCAAAUACUCACCUUGAACAUUAGUGUCACACAUUGAAAUAAUGGAUCAAAAUAAUUCUUUCAAAAUCACUCUUUAAAGAAAUAUGUCUUUUGAAUUAUUUAUUGGUUUCUUUGCCUAAGUUUUAGCUGACAAUAUAUUUGCUUUUUUCAUCACUGAUAGUAGUUCCUUUGUGCUUUUACUUGCAUUAUGAUUUGAACACAAAUAUCCUUAGAAUAGUUUUCCUCUGAACUAUUCUUUGAUGACUUAUUUCAGUAAUACUGUGUCUUCCAUUUUUACAGGAUUCAAGAGAGCUCUUAGCCAUUUUAUUUUUGACAAAUUCAUUAAAUUAUGCUGAAAAAAGGCAGAACAUUGAUAUUUGCAAUUCAUAGAUUUUUAGAGAGAUGUUACCUUGCAGAUAUAAAGGUAAGCAAAGUAAACUAUGUUUAUGGUCAAAGAGACGAUAAUUGUCAAAGUAGGAGGAGACCCCAAGUCUCAUAAUUUCCAAUGUUGUGUCUUAAAGGCUAUUUUAUGUUAAAUGUCCUUAUUUCUGUAGUUCAUCAGUAGACUAAAAAUGAAAAGAAAUAAAUGUUUAUUUUAUUUCUUACCCUUUGCUAUAGUUUCUUGAUUUUUCUAAACUUGCUACCAUGCCUAAAGGUUCCAACACAAAUUCUCUAUUCCUCUCUCUUUGUUAGCUCUUCUAAAAAUUCUUACUUAAUUCCUUACCUCAAGUCACCGCUAAAGAGACAAAUGGAUCUCAAAUUUACAUCUCCCACAUUCUUAUAUCUCUAAGCCAUUGAAAUUUCCAUCAGUUGAGCAAGCAGCACCAAAAAUGUUAAUAUGCAAGAAAAAAUACAAAUUAUAAAAUUUAAAAAAUAAAAGAUAGAAAUAAUAAAAAAAAAUGUGAGUCUAAACAUUAGUAAGAAAAGGCUUAAUUCAGGGGGAUUAUAACAUUAGGGAGGAAACUCUAAUAAGAAGAUGUGCAAGUGUUUUAAAGGGGCAGAAGUGACUUUCUUUUUAUAAGAAUGAGCAAGUAAGACUAGAAAAAGGUAGGUGUUGGAGAGUGGGAGGAGCAGGUAAAAUCAGAGUUUGUGUUCCUGAUUAUCAGGAAGAUCCAUAAAGGAUGAGUUGUUUCAUGUUUCAGAGGUUCUUUAACCUGAGAAGCAAGUUAAACUUCAGAGGGAAGAGUAAAUCCCAACUAAAUUUUGGUUAAAUCACACUACUGAGCAUUUUUUCACAUUAGUCUGUGAGAUUAAUUAGUUCAUUUGUUAGGUAGAGAAUAGGGAUUUAAAUAUCUGUAUCUGUCCUUGUCACAUUUAAUCAGGGGUAUCCUUCCCUAGAGCUAGCUAAGUCAUGUGUAGAAGGAUGAUUCUUUGUAGCAAGCUGCUUCCUGGUACACAAAAUGGUAAAUUUCUUAACAUCACUAUUUCUGGGAGUGCAGGGACACUGUGAAGUUCAAUGCCGUCAGAACAAAAAACAGGUUUUUAUUUAGCCUCAUAGAAUAUUACUUUACUUCAUGAAAAUAUUUUAUCCUUCCAACUUUUUCAUUCUCACCAAUAAUAUAACCAAGUGUACUACAUGUAGCUCUAUGGACCAGAAUCCACUAAGAGGAUACUUGAAGUAACAGCACUUGAUCAAAUAACAGUCACACCAGUGGAAGGAAGAUACCAAAACAUGUGACACGAAUUAUUGGCCUUCCUCUUUGUCCACGUAUUUCACGUCAAUCAUUGUUUUAUCUAAAAUAACCCUCAACUUUGGAGGGUUUUUGAAAAAUCUUCAGAAGUUCAAAAUACCCUUUCUACAGCUUUACAUAUUACUCUCUCAUGUCCAUUCCUACUGUCCUUUACUUGUUAUCCCCUGGACCAACUCUGCUCUCCAAAAUGCUAUUUACCACUAACCCACUCUGUGUCCUCGACUGCUGCUCAGUGCUUUCUCUCUACUGUUUUUGGCAUUAUCAAAGACUCUGCCUCCUCUGUGGCUUCUCCAAUGAAAUUUGAUUUUCUUCCCACCCAAUGUCCUUGCAGGUUGCAAGUUUAAAUCCAUAAUCCAGACUAUUAUUAUAUCAACUUUUUUUUUCUGAAAACUUUCCUCCUUUGUGUUAUUGUCAGUGAAUAAACACUUAAGUGCAACCAGAAGAUGUAUAACUGUAAUGCAGGGCAUGAACUUAACCUUUUAACAGGUAGGGACAUUGAUAAGGAGAGGGAAAAAAAAUCAGUUGAGAAAACACUGGAAAAGCAGCUUCUUUGGUUAUUUGCCCUCAACAGCGUCACCACCAAACCUAAUAGUAUCCGUAACAUUGUCAACUUUAAACAUCUUAUAUGUGAAUGAUUCAUGCUAUACUAAAUCAAUCCCCUUGUUCUCUAAGUCUUUAGUUUUUGAUAUUUCUCUUAAUUAUUUUUUGAAUAGGUAAUCUGUUGACUCUGAAAGUAUUCUUUGAGAAUUCCUGUUCCUUCUCGUCUAAGUCACGACUUUCUUCCAUUCUUAGUUAAAGUAACCAUUUUAAUGAGUGUCUUGGAUCACUGUUUCAUAAAAUAAGCAAGAAGGAAAACAACAAAUAACAUUGAUUUUAAUUGUCUUCCCUUUCCUUUAGAGGAAUUAACAUAGUGUAGACACUAUUUUUGACUUUCCCUUUUAACUUAUUCAUUUAACCUGGAAAUCUUUUCAGAAAAAAAUAUACAUAGAAUCAUUUUCUUUUUUUCAAAUUAUUAACUGUACAUCAUAGUUUAUUUAACCAAUUUCUUAUUGUUGGAACCUCGUGGAUUUUCUCUGUCUUUUGUAUCUAAAACUUAUAAUUGCAUAACCUUAGACAUGUGUCAUUCCUUACAUUUGAGAUUACAGACAUAAACAGUAUAUAUGAUUAUGUCUUCAUAUCUGCAAAUAACUUCAUUUGAAUGGACUAACUGGGUAGUGACCAUAGGCAGAUGGGUAAUGAUUGGAGGACUUAAGUUACUGGGUAUGAGCCCUUGAAGGGUUCUUCUUCCCUGUGGCCCUUUUCUCUUUUUGCUUUCCAACCUACUGCUGCCCUUCUACCUUGAUGUUCUGCCUCAAGGGCCCAGAGCAAUGGAGUUAGUUAGCUGACCACGGACUGAAACUCUGAAAGUGUGAACAAACAAUGAAUUUUUUUCUUCUAAGUUGUUCUUGUCAGGUGGGUACUUUGGUCAGAGAGAUGAAAAGUUGACUAAUACAAUCUCUUUCCUAGAAUUACACAGACUGCACUCCCCAAAAAUUAACUCAAACUGGUUUCCUCUUCUCUUUCUCUGUUACAUUGUUAAAUUUUUAUAUUUUUCUGAUAUUAUGAACAUUAAAUGACAUUUAAAAUGUAGAUUUCAUUUUCAUGUCUUUUAAAUGAUGUUAAGCAUGUUUCCAAAUAUUUAAUGAUCUUUUGUUAAUUUUUCUGUGAAUUAUAAAACCAUAUGCCCUUGGACUUUUUUUACUAAGUUGUUGGUCUUCUUAUAAAUUCCUAGGAGAUACUUCAUCUUUUGUUCAACUUUUACAUUUUGAAUUUAUCAACAUUUUAUUUUACAGAUCCAAGAUAUUUUAUUUUUCAAUUUUUACUUUAUAAUUGACAUUUUUGUCUGCAUAUUUAUGGGAAAGAGUAUGAGAAUUUGACACAUCUAUGUAGUGUGAAAUGAUCAAAUCAGAGUAAUUAGCACUUCCAUCUCUUUAAACAUUGAUCAUUUCAUGUCUAGGAAACUUCAGACUCUUUUAAUUUACCUAUUUCAAAAUAUAUAAUAAAUUUUUAUGAAUUAUAUUUACCCUAUGAUUCUAUUAAACACCAGAAUUAUUUCCUCCUAUCCAACUGUAUUUUGGUACCCAUUAUCCAAUUUCUAUUUAAGUUUUGAAUAGUAAAUAAUCAGUGUUUUCCCUACUCUAAGCCUUCAUAGGUAUUUACCUAUAUGNACUGGGUAGUGACCAUAGGCAGAUGGGUAAUGAUUGGAGGACUUAAGUUACUGGGUAUGAGCCCUUGAAGGGUUCUUCUUCCCUGUGGCCCUUUUCUCUUUUUGCUUUCCAACCUACUGCUGCCCUUCUACCUUGAUGUUCUGCCUCAACGGCCCAGAGCAAUGGAGUUAGUUAGCUGACCACGGACUGAAACUCUGAAAGUGUGAACAAACAAUGAAUUUUUUUCUUCUAAGUUGUUCUUGUCAGGUGGGUACUUUGGUCAGAGAGAUGAAAAGUUGACUAAUACAAUCUCUUUCCUAGAAUUACACAGACUGCACUCCCCAAAAAUUAACUCAAACUGGUUUCCUCUUCUCUUUCUCUGUUACAUUGUUAAAUUUUUAUAUUUUUCUGAUAUUAUGAACAUUAAAUGACAUUUAAAAUGUAGAUUUCAUUUUCAUGUCUUUUAAAUGAUGUUAAGCAUGUUUCCAAAUAUUUAAUGAUCUUUUGUUAAUUUUUCUGUGAAUUAUAAAACCAUAUGCCCUUGGACUUUUUUUACUAAGUUGUUGGUCUUCUUAUAAAUUCCUAGGAGAUACUUCAUCUUUUGUUCAACUUUUACAUUUUGAAUUUAUCAACAUUUUAUUUUACAGAUCCAAGAUAUUUUAUUUUUCAAUUUUUACUUUAUAAUUGACAUUUUUGUCUGCAUAUUUAUGGGAAAGAGUAUGAGAAUUUGACACAUCUAUGUAGCGUGAAAUGAUCAAAUCAGAGUAAUUAGCACUUCCAUCUCUUUAAACAUUGAUCAUUUCAUGUCUAGGAAACUUCAGACUCUUUUAAUUUACCUAUUUCAAAAUAUAUAAUAAAUUUUUAUGAAUUAUAUUUACCCUAUGAUUCUAUUAAACACCAGAAUUAUUUCCUCCUAUCCAACUGUAUUUUGGUACCCAUUAUCCAAUUUCUAUUUAAGUUUUGAAUAGUAAAUAAUCAGUGUUUUCCCUACUCUAAGCCUUCAUAGGUAUUUACCUAUAUGUUGUCUAGUGUUUUCACAAGUUGACAUUUAUGUUUCAACCUUUGCUAUUUUGGGUAAAAUAACUUACUACUCAAUAAUUUAAUCGAAUCUUAUCAAAAGACUAUUAUUAUCCUAUUCACUGGAGCACCACUUUCAUAUAAAAUUUUCAUGUUUAUUUCAGAGUUUUUCAUAAUUUUGUCUAUUUUCUUGUAAUGCUAAAGUUAUAAAAGUUUAAUAAGUGAGACUAUUUGGUAUGUUUUGGUAUCUAAAAUAACUGAUGUUCCCUUACUGUUCUUAAUUUUUAGGGGUUUUCCAGCCAGUGCUGAUUAAUUAUUUUUCUACAUAAACCUUAAAAUCAACUAGAAAAAUUUCAGAAGAAGAACAAAAUAACUCUGUUGAUACAUUUAUUAGAUCUGUAUUGCAUUCACAAAUUGACUUAUGGAUAAUUGAAAUCUUUUUGAUGUUAAAUCUACAUAUCUAAAACCAUUGAAAGUAGUUUCAUUUUCCAAUGUCCUUUUGAUUCCUACAGAAUUUUACUUCUAUAAAUUGUAUAGCUUUCUUGUUAAGUUUCUUCUUCAGUAUUUUAUUUUCUUUUUUAAAUGGAAAAUUCUCUUUCAAUAAUUAUUUUUGUAUAUAAAGAAUGUUGUUUUAUAUGAGUUACUUUUAUGACUAGCCUAACCUACAAUUCGAGUUUCUCUAGUAUGCUUAUUUUUUCUAAUUAUUAUGACUAAUAUCACAAAAAUAUGUAAAGUAGGCAUAGAGAUAAUGAAAAAUUUUGUCUAGCCUUGGAUUUAAAGCAAUGUCCCCUGUUCUUCCCCACCUAGUAAAUUGUUGAGUUUUAAGUCAAAAUAAACUUUCUUUAUGUAAAAAAAAAUGGUUUUCUAUUUUAAUUUUGUGUAAUCAUUUUGAAAAUCCAAAACAAUGUUGAAUUUUUUCCAAUUUUGUCAAAUGGAUAUAAUCAUAUGGAAUUUACUUUUUUAUAUAAAGUGGUGAAUUUUGUAACUCUGCUUCUUUACAUUGCAUAGUAUUAGUGUUUCUAAAAUAAAGCCAGUGGGUUGAUGUUUUGUUGUCUUCAAAAUAUUAGAGUUCUUGAUCUUCUCCCUUAGUUCAUAGAUUUCUUCUUCAGCAACAUUCAUUCUGCAAUUCAACUUAUUUUUUUUAAUCAACUAUAUUAUUUUUCAGGUCCAAAAAUUUCAGGCAUUAUGUUCAAUGACAUAUGUUUCUUGAUUAUGGUUCCUAUAUUACCCACAAUUUAUCUUGUCUGGUCUUAUAAAUCUCCUUGUUCUGCUAAUGAUUGUCCAUUAUAAUUUAUUGUCUUUCUCAUACAGUGGCUGUGCUAAAAUCCCUUUUAAUAUUUUUUCUCAUAUCUCACUUUCUCUUGUAGCAUUGGCCUUGUUAUCCAGGUAAAGUGAAUCUUUGCAGAGACACAAAUGUCCUGUUAUAGACUGCACAGUUUGGAGAACAGAUGAGAGGUGUUUCUCAGGCUGAGGACUCAAGAACUUCAUUCUCCAUGGAGUAAUCAUUGUCUCUUGUAAUUCAAGUAAUUCACUUGCUACCUAAGCUGGAUUGUUCUAAACUCAUCCUGAUUUUAAUUCACUACUCUUUUCCAGUUCUGAGUGAUAUGUUUUUAUUUAUCUUAUUUUGGGGAGCAAUUGUGGCACUAAAUUUAAAAAUCAAGGAUAGAAGGCCAUGAUGCACCUAAGUACAUGCCUCCUGACCUCACUCACAUAUGCAAAGCUUUGCUCUUUUAUACCAUUGGAUACUGCACUUUUAAAGUCACGAUACUACCAAUUCAUAUUUUAUUUGUUGAACUUCAUAUUUUCACAGCUUUUAUAAUAGUUUAACAAACUCACGAGACUCCUCAGGCAUUCUUCAUUGUACAGUUCUGGGGGUUGUAUAAUGAAAUAUGCAGAUAAAUAUUAUUUUAUCACACUUUGAGAAAUUGGACAUCUUAAUGUCAUUUUCUAUUAUGACUUUCUUUCUUUGGUCAUUAGAUUGACCAAAAAUAGCUAAAGGUUAUAAACUCAUUGAGGCAAUUCCUGGCUCUUGAGUUUAAGCAUCAAUACUAUGUUUAACAUACAUUGGAUAAAAGAUACCCUUUUGAAAAAAUGAACACUAUAGAUCCAUAUAUAGAAAAAUGGAACUGAAGCUUGUCCCUCAGUCUACACAAAAGUUAACUCAAACUGUAUCAAAGUCCUAAGAAUUAGACAAAAAACAUUGAAGUCAAUUGAAUCAAUGCUUCAACAUAGAGAUGCAGGAAAUCCUACUGACUUCCUCAGUAGGGCUCUAUAAUAAAAAUAAUUAAUAAGUGGAAUGGCACAAAGUUAAAAGACCUCCACAUAGCAAAACAAAGAAUUAAGAUCAUGAAGAGAGAAUCUACAGUGUUGGUAAAAAUAUUUGCUACCUAAUGUUUCAAUGAGUAUGAAUAUACAAAAUGUAUAAAAAAUGACUGGGGAACUGAAUUAGAACAAGAUAUAUUCUAUGUUUUUAUAAUUAUGUCAAAAUGGAUUCUACUUUCAUGUAUAAAUAAAAAGAACCAAAAAAAUUAAUAUGUAAAAUCAAAUAACCCAAUCAAUAAAUGGGAAAAUAAACCAGUUUACAAAAGAAAAAUAUAAAUUGCCAGCAAGUAUAUGAAAUAAGUUCAAUAUUCUUAGCAACUAGGAAAAUAAAAAACAAAACUAUACUGAGAUUUUAUCUUAUUCCAAUUAGAACAAGUAAGAUGGACAGUGCUGCCGUAAUAGUUCUACUGUUAACAGGAGAGCAACCAGUUGAUGGCAGAUGGCUUCACCAUGACAUAGCAUAAGCUCAUAUUUUUUAUGAAAGAACCAAAUGAUGCUAGUGAGAAAUUUCUAUUCAAUUAUUACAACAAUAUCUAGAAAAGGGAUCUAGCUUACAGUACUAGAAACAGUGGAGGCCAAAGGACCAUGUGGAAGAUUUAUCCAGAGUGCUUAAAGGGCAAAAAACAGUCCCCCCAUAAACAAAACAAAACACUAGUACCCAAGAAUCUUAUAACUAUCAAAAUUAUAUAUUUCUAAAAUGAGAGCAAAAUUUAAAAUUUCCUAGAUAAACAAGAGCAGAAAAUGUAUUGCUAGCAGACCUUCAUUACUUCAUUAUUAACCAAUUAAAAUAAACAUAUAGGGCUGAAGAUGAGGCUAAGUGAUAAAGCACUUUCUUUCCCUGUAUGAAGCCCUGGGUUUGAUCUCCAGCAUGCACGCACACACAAUUAGAAAAGGGAAACAAAUAGUAUGUUGUGUUUACUUAAUCAAAUAUAAGUUCAGAUUUAUACUUUACCCUUUAUAACAUAAUCUCUUCACUAAAAGCUUGAAAUUUAAAUGGAAGCAUGAAAUUACACUUCUAAGUUUUUCAUUAUUUGCUGGUACCAUGCCCAACCUAUAUUAGGGUUUUUAACAACUUGUAAGUCACUAUCUAUAGGUAAGUAUAACCCCACAUAAUCAUCAUCUGAUAGCUGUCCAGGUAAUUUUGCACAUACAAGCAAGAAAUGGUCACAAAAUUUUAAAAUGCAGGCCUAAGACAUGAAUCCCCUUGUCUUAGUAUUGAUUGAUAUUACUUUUAAAAUACACAUGUUGAGCUGGGUGUACUGGCACAUGCUUGUGAUUCCAGCAGCUGGGGAGGCUGAGGCAAAAGGAUCGUGAGUUCAAAACCAAGCUCAGCAACUUAGUCAGGACCUAAGCAAUUCAGUGAGACCCUGGGAAUGUGGGUCAGUGGUUCAGCAACCCAGAGUUCAAUCUCCAGUACCAAAGGAAAAAAAUAUAUGUGUUGAUACAAUUCACAUACAACUCACCCAUUUGAAAUGUGCGAUUCACAGUUGUGCAACCAUCACCAGAAUCAACUUGACCACAUUUUCAUCUCCCCUAUCUAUUACCCUACAUCCUUAGCCCCUUUGUGUCCUUAGCUAUCUUUGUCUCUAAAGAUUGCCUAUGCUAAACAUUUCAUAUAAAUGGAAUUGUAUAAUAUAUCAUUUGCUAUCAAUCUAAAGAGCAUCCUUUAGUCCUUCUUAUAAAGAAGGUCCGCUAGCAAUACAUUCUCUGCUCUUGUUAUCUAGGAAAUUUUUUAUUUUGCUUUCAUUUUAGAAAUAUAGUUUUGCUAGUUAUAAGUUUCUUUGGUACCAGUGUUUUGUUUUGUUCAUGGUGGGACUGUUUUUUGCCUUUUAAGCACCCUGGAUAUAUCUUCCACAUGGUCCUUUGGCCUCCACUGUUUCUCAAGAAAAGUCAGUUGCUAAUUUUAUUGGGGUGCUUUUUAAAGAGAUGAGUCAUUUUUCUCUCAUUAUUUUCAAAGCAUUCUCUGUUCUGGCUUUAAAUGUUUUUUCUGAUACAUAGAAUAUGGAUCUCUUUGGAUUUAUAAUCCAUUUGGAGUUGGUUGAGCUUCCUAGAUAGGCAGCCUAGUGCUUUAACCAGUCAUUACCUCUUAUGGCUGCUUUCUCUUUUUCUGGUACACCCAUUCUAUGACUGUUAGUGUACUUAAUGGUGUCCCACAUUUUUGAGCCUCUUUUUUUCUCUCUGUUCUUCAGAUUCUAUAAUCACUAAUCAAACUGUCUCCUUCAAGCUUUUUGAUUCUUUUGUUAGUUCAAAUCUACAGUUGGGUCUACAACAGUAAAUUUUUCAUUUCAGUUAUACUUCUAGCUCCAGAAUUUCUAUUUGGUUCCUUUUUAUAAUUUGUGUCUAUUAAUUGAUAUUCUCUAUUUGAGCAUGGUUUCUUUUAGUCAUUUGAACAUAUUCAUGAUAGCUGCUUUAAAGUCUCUCUAAGUCCUUUGGAAAAGCUGUUUCUGUUGUCUGUUUUUUGUUUUUGUUUUAUUGUCAUCAUCUGUUUUCCUUUCUCCUGCCUAUGGGAAACAUUCUCCUAAUUCUUUCAUGUCUUAUAAUCUUUGGCUGAUAACUGUAUAGUGUAACAACUGGACACUAAUCCCCUCCCCUUUCUAUGGCUUGUUAGUGUUUAAUUCUUUAUUUGUGUAGAAAUUAGACCAUUUUGGUACAUCUAUUUCCUCCACAGUGUGCAGGCCUGAGUGUGCACACUGUCACCCUGGAAUGACAAUAAUUUUAGCAGGGCUUUCUUCAACUGUCUCUCCCUGAUCUCUAUGAAACUCUCUGUCUCUUUUUGUAUCAUCUCCUGCUAUUAGGCACCAAUAAUCGUCAAUGGACUCUACUAUUUUCAGAAAUAUCUUGGGGCACAAAUUGUUCCACAAUCUAAUCCAAUUAUAUUCAGGCCUCAGCUGAGGUAGUUUUUGAGAUCUAUUAUGACUGGAGGAGGUCUCUUAUCAGCCAUCUAUUCUCUCUAGUUACCUUCUAGCUGGGCUAUAGUGUAGCUUCCUACUCUCAUGAUGAUACCAUCCUUCCCUUGAUUGCUCAUCACUAAAGCUACCUUGUUUUUGAGGGCAUCUUUGUGCUUGAAUUUCCAAAUAUUCAUUCCCAAAAGGAGUCAGUUUACAUGAGAAGAACUUCAGAGUUCUAUCAUUAUAGUCUUCCACUCCCUUGAGACAAGAUGGAAGCAGGGAUUGAGACCCAAUUCUCUCCCAGGGACACCCUUGUGUUACAAGAAGAGCGCUACAGAGAGGCAGUUGCUUCUGGUCUUCUCAGCUUACCUUUCCAAGUGUGGAACUUCUCUAUGAGAAAGCUGAGGCAGGCAGAGGUUAUAAUUCAAAUGCCACAGAUACUCACUAUUCUGAUCAAAAUAUUGAUUUUCUUGAAUAAAUGUUUUUUCAUUUGCUGUACAGCUUUUAGGACUAUUUCCAGAAACUAAAUGGUUGCUUUCUAAUAAUUUUCUUACAGGUAGUUGUUUCAAUGGCAACUGGAUUCAAGAAGCUCCUUAUGCCAUCAUUCCAGAAAUCACCUUUCAAUACUGCUUUCAGUAAUACUUAAUAUACUACAGUAGAAUAUUAACUACAGUAUAAUCUCAUUACCAGAGAUAACUCGGAGAUAAAGGUCAGGUUAAAGUAAAAAUCCAAAUUUAAAAGAUUUAAAAAAAAAUGUUUUUAGAGUUUGAGAAAUAAAUAAUAACUAGAAUUGUCAUACUUAAGAGAAAUACAUAAUUCAUAUAAUGAGUGAAGAUUUUAAUCUAUAUGAGGAUCACUUGUGUUAGGUUUUUCUAAAAACUGUUGGUCCUACAAAGAUUAUACAAGAAAGUAACAGAUAUCCCCAUAAUUAUCUCGGGUGCAUUUUUUACCUCAAUUGGAUUUUUCUAAACAUAAAAUAUGUUAUAUGUAUAAUAUACAAACACAAAUAGCAUUUUAUAUCCAAGAAACAUUCUAAUUGAAAGAAUGUGCAUUACUGAGUCUCUCUACUCCUUUUGGGAAUGAAUAUUUGUAAAAACAUCCUGAGACUGAAGGGACAUAUGGCAAUUUAAAAACAAAAUACAAAAUUAAAAUCCUUAACUACACAUCUAUUUUGCUUAUAAAGCCAGGCCUUGAGAAAUCAGAUAGAAGAUACAGGCAAGAUGGAAGAACAGAGGUGCCCUCCAAGUGACUCCACCAGAGGAGAAUGAAAGCAACAAACAGAAAGUUGUAUUUGAGACUGGUGGGCAAGGGAGAACUCUGGAAAUUAAGAAACAAGUGAUGGGAAAGCUAAGCAGCACUGAGAAAAAGUCAACCUAGAAAAAAGAGCAAAGUAAUGUAUAAUAUCAAGUUCAGCUGCCUAGCCAGCCUGGAUCAGGAACCAGAUACUGCCCAGAAAAAGCAUGCAAUCCCAACCAUAGUAGGAGACAGGCAGUCCUAAAUGCAAGAGAAUUUCACAGAGCUUACAAGCUUUAAAUCCAGUUUGGGGAACUAGUUGGUAUAAAAAUGAGUAAUCUGCUCUCAAGAAGGAAUCCACUUUGGGUACCCACCCCCAACCCAGAACUUAAGUUAUAACAAUAGCCAUUGCCAGACACCCUCUUAGCUUAGGGACUGACAGCCAGGCCCCUAUCCCCACCAGAAACUUUGAGCUUGUAUGUACCUCUCUGGGCAGAAGACAACCCCUUAACUGUCUGGCAGUUCAGGACCAUGGCUGCCAAAGCCACAAAUCUGAGUCCCACCUACACUUGCCCCACAGGAAUUAAUAAAAUGUGUUUUUUUUUUCAUAUUUAAUCUUUUUAAUUUAAAAAGCAGGAUUGGAAAACAUAAAACUAAAAUGUUUUUUUAAAUUAAAAAAAAAGAAAGAAAGAUCCUCGGUCAUAUUUUUUAAAAAAUAACAAAGAAACUCUAAAAAAAAACCUUUGGGACAUCAUUAAGCAAACAAAUAUUCUAUUAUUUGAAUUCCAGAGGGCAGUGGGGGCAAGAUGGCAGAUCAGAAUGGGGCAGCAUUUCUCCUAACUCAGCCAUCCAGACAGAACUCAAGCAGUGGGAAUACUAGGUCUCCCAAAGACUUAGAGUAAAAAAUCCUGAGACUGGAGGGGCAGUCUGCCCUAGUCAAACCAGAGACUAUUUGACUAAUUAAUCAGGUCUAAAAAUAAAAAACCUCUCCAUGGAGUUUAUCAAUCAUUCACAGAGAGCCAAUCCAGAAGCCAUCUUUGGACUGAAGCACAGUGGAGCCUAUAGAAACUGGAAACCCAGAUCCAAGAAUUUGCAGCUAGGUCUGUGUAGGCCUAUCUAAGCCUAGCAAACCUGUGGAAAGGUUUAAAAAAAAAAA